CUGACUUCUUGAAGUUAGAAAAUGAUACUUUAUUUGUAACAAAACUAAAAAUGAAAAGAAAUUAAAGGAAUAGAUCACAAGUGAUUUUUUUAUUAAGUGCUUUUGGAAUCAUACAUUAAAAAGAAAACUUGAUUUUGUCAUUGAUAUUUAUUUCAGAGAUAACAAGAUGAGGUCUCUUAAAUGUGAUCUUCUAGAAACCAAAAUACCAAACGGAAAGUAUUAAGAACCCUAGUCCAAGUGAAGAGUAAGGCAAGUCACUAACCGCUGAGGAAUGAUUCCGAGGCUCUAAUGUUUUUGUGCUCAUAUGUCACCUUUUUGUCCUAUUGGACAAGUUGAUUAUCGGCCGUCACCACCUUAACUUUAUACGAGUGAUCUCGAAAGUAUCACCAGUCGCCGUCUUAACUUUAUGAGAUUGACUUUAACUUUAUGCGAGUGAUCUUGAAAGUAACGCCAGUCGCCGCCUUAACUUUAUGAGUGAUUUCGGAAGAAAACCUGUACUGUGAGAUUAAACGUGAAGUAUUUGGGUUUGUUGUGUGGUACUUAGAAUCGAGUGUUGUUCAAUUCAUCUGACCAAAAAAAAAAAAAGUUUGCAAGUGCUACGUUUCAUGGUAAUUUCAAUUCCAGAAAAAGGUUUUCUAACCAUAUGUGAAUGUCACUAUAAAUGCACCUCCUAUUGAUAUUAUGCUUCCCACAAUUUUAGCUUGGGUUGUUCUAGUUUUUACAUCUAUCUUUUCCAUCCUUAAGUUGUGGUAGUAAUAGCAUUGUGAAAAACAAACAAAACACAGAACAAGAAUGGAUAAUAGGGUAAGAUACUAAGAUAGUGAUUCAGAAAGAAAUUAUUAAUUACAUCACUUAUAUAUGUAAUAUUGAUCAUUUAUUCCAACUGUAAUUAAUAAAUACAAAAUAAGAUAACUUUGAUUUGACUUGGACUGAUUUUUAUUAUCUUCUGAGCAUUUUUGUUUUCAUUUUUCUUCUUCUUUGAAACACCUUUGAGCAGCAAAUGAUGAUUGUACAGGUUAGAAUUUU
Molecule: non-coding RNA, 1026 nt
Organism: Arachis ipaensis
Lineage: Eukaryota; Viridiplantae; Streptophyta; Magnoliopsida; Fabales; Fabaceae
Source: RefSeq, a predicted model, not a curated record